Molecule: ribosomal RNA, 1296 nt
Filed under: uncultured bacterium
Lineage: Bacteria
Description: 16S ribosomal RNA
Rfam family: Bacterial small subunit ribosomal RNA
Source: RNAcentral
GAGUGGCGCACGGCUGAGUAGCACGUGGGAACGUACCCUUGGGUGGGGCAUAACGCCGCGAAAGCGACGCUAAUCCCGCAUACGCUCCAGUAAUGGAGGAAAGCCUUUCGGCGCCCAAGGAGCGGCCCGCGGCCCAUCAGGUCGUUGGGCGGGUAAUGGCCUCCCAAGCCGAUGACGGGUAGCUGGUCUGUGAGGACAAUCAGCCAGACUGGGACUGAGAUACGGCCCAGACUCCUACGGGAGGCAGCAGCAAGGAAUUUUCGUCAAUGGGGGCAACCCUGAACGAGCAACGCCGCGUGGUGGAUGACGGCCUUCGGGUUGUAAACACCUUUUGGGGGGGAAGAAGAUGACGGUACCCUCCGAAAAAGGCUCGGCUAACUCUGUGCCAGAGCCGCGGUAAGACAGAGGAGCCAAGCGUUGUCCGGAUUGACUGGGCGUAAAGCGCACGCAGGCGGGUGCGCGCGUGGGGUGUGAAAGCUGGCCGCUUAACGGCCAGUCGCCAUCCCAUACGGCGCGCCUGGAGCCUUGCAGAGGGCGGUGGAAUUGCCGGUGUAGUGGUGAAAUGCGUAGAGAUCGGCAGGAACACCCAGGGGGAAACCAGCCGCCUGGGCAAGCGCUGACGCUGAGGUGCGAGAGCGUGGGGAGCGAACCGGAUUAGAUACCCGGGUAGUCCACGCCGUAAACGAUGGCCACUCGGCCUUUGCAGGCGGAUUUUCCGCUUGUGGGGGCCUUAGCAAACGCAGUAAGUGGCCCGCCUGGGAUCUACGAGCGCAAGCUUAAAACUCAAGGAAUUGACGGGGGCCCGCACAAGCAGCGGAGCGUGUGGUUUAAUUCGACGCAACGCGCAGAACCUUACCCAGGUUUGACAUGGCACUGCAAGCCGCUGAAAGGCGGUCGCCUUCGAGGGAGUGCCACAGAUGCUGCAUGGCUGUCGUCAGUUCGUGUCGUGAGAUGUUGGGUUAAGUCCCGCAACGAGCGCAACCCCUACGGUCAGUUACAUGUGUCUGGCCGGACUGCCCAAUUCGGGAGGAAGGCGGGGAUGACGUCAAGUCCGCAUGGCUCUUACGCCUGGGGCGACACACACACUACAAUGCCGGUGGCAGCGCGCCGCGACCGAGCAAUCGGGAGCAAAUCGCCAAGCACCGGCACAGUGCAAAUUGGGGGCUGCAACUCGCCCCCAUGAAGGCGGAGUUGCUAGUAACCGCGUAUCAGCCAUGGCGCGGUGAAUACGUACCCGGGCCUUGUACACACCGCCCGUCACGUCAUGGGAGUUGUCAAUGCUUGAAGUCCGUGGGC